GCCGGCAGCUAGCUUUCUGCAACUCUCACAUGGUCGCCCACUGAAGCUAAGCAGGGCUGCGCCCGGUCAGUACCUGGAUGGGAGACCACAUGGGAAAGCUAGGUUGAUGCCGGAA
This 115-nucleotide ribosomal RNA is filed under the name Danio rerio (zebrafish). Lineage: Eukaryota; Metazoa; Chordata; Actinopteri; Cypriniformes; Danionidae. The record is from RNAcentral.